GAUGAACGCUAGCGGCAGGCCUAACACAUGCAAGUCGAGGGAGAAGCCCUUCGGGGCGGAAACCGGCGCACGGGUGCGUAACGCGUAUGCAACCUACCUUUCACAGGGGGAUAGCCCGAAGAAAUUUGGAUUAAUACCCCAUAAUAUUGUUGGAUGGCAUCAUUUGGCAAUUAAAACUGAGGUGGUGAAAGAUGGGCAUGCGUCCUAUUAGCUAGUUGGAGUGGUAACGGCACCCCAAGGCUACGAUAGGUAGGGGUCCUGAGAGGGAGAUCCCCCACACUGGUACUGAGACAGGGACCAGACUCCUACGGGAGGCAGCAGUGAGGAAUAUUGGUCAAUGGUCGGAAGACUGAACCAGCCAUGCCGCGUGCAGGAAGAAUGCCUUAUGGGUUGUAAACUGCUUUUAUAUGGGAAGAAUAAGGUGUACGUGUACAUUGANGACGGUNCCA
This 449-nucleotide ribosomal RNA is filed under the name uncultured bacterium. Its description in RNAcentral is "bacterial SSU rRNA". It matches the Rfam family "Bacterial small subunit ribosomal RNA", at positions 28 to 480 of the family's 1533-position model. The record is from RNAcentral.